This is a non-coding RNA of Callithrix jacchus (white-tufted-ear marmoset), 23707 nucleotides long. Lineage: Eukaryota; Metazoa; Chordata; Mammalia; Primates; Cebidae. The record is from RefSeq and is a predicted model, not a curated record.
CCAGCCCCUCUGGGACGUCACAAGCGCUCAGCUGCCUAGUGCGCGCGUGGCAGAAGAGAAGUUGGUGACUACCGAGCUCCGUCUCCGUUACUGACCGUUUUCUCGCCAUUGUAGCUUGCUCUCAAUGGGCAAUUUAUUAAGUAUAUUUCGCCCCCGGUCCCGCCGCAGGCCCCUGCCUGGCCGUGUCCCACGCGCUCCCAUAGCCCGGGAGGCGUCCCAGCCUGGCCCGGCUCCCCCUGUGGCGCCCACGCUUACCCCCGGCCCUUACCGAUUUCUCUUCAACGGUCAGCAGAGUCGGAAGCCUUCUCCAGGCAGCUUCUUCGGCGCCCCCAGGAGACCGCCAGACAUGGGCGCCCCCGUGGCGGUCCCGCCUGCUGUGGACUGCAGGCUCCUCUUAAGGAGGAGAACCGUGUUGUCGGCUCGCAACUCCUUGGUGUUGAGACACCCCAGCUCUGUGAGGAUCCCUCCUCCCAGCAGCACGUUCACCCUCCGACCACAGGAGGAGGUGGUCGGGGCUAGGAAGCGGAUCCCGAUCCCAGCCAGGCUCCCGAAUCAGACCAAGAUGCAGAAUUGGGUGUUCUUUGCCUGGGCUUUUGCCCUGCCCACACCCAGCAGGCGCACGGCUCAAAAAGUGGGAAAAGGAACGAAGGCAACCAAGGCAAAGGAGGCAGAACCUCCGCAGCCAGCAAAGAAGAGGCACUGUCUCCCAGCAGUAAAAAUUCACCAAGAGUCUAGCGAGAUGAAGAAAGAUGCCAGGAAGAAGAGAAACGCCAGGAAACAGAAGCCCACACAAUCAUGAGAAGAUGGGGCCUGCUGGCAGAGCUGGGGCUUGGCCGUGGUCACUCUGGAGCCUGCCCUUCCUGAGUGGUGGAAAGACAGCGAUAAUAUGAAGCCCACACAAGAAGCUCAAGCAGUAACAUAGCAAGAGGGAGGACAAUUCAAAGGGAAGAGGCCCAUGGUCUUCUUUCUCAUUGUAACUUCUACUGUCAGGGAAGCCCCUUAUUUAUAAGGAACAUAACUGUGUUUAUCUCCCAAGUUCUCACCCCCAGAUUAAAGUUUUCAGAAAGACUUAGGCCAUCAACAGUUAGAGGAGAAGUUGUACUAAUGUGUGAGGGAUGCAUUUUGGCCAUUAAUUUGCGGUCCAGUAUUUUGUUUAUGUUAAUGAUUCAGUCUCAGAAACCAUUACAAGUUUCUGGUAUCCCAACUACUCUUACCUGGGGAAAAGAGGAAGUUCUUUCAAUUGGAAAUUGUGUUCACCUGGCAUAAGGAAAAAGUUGGUAAAAUCUAAAGGAAUCCUGAGACUUAUUGAUAAAAUUGUGGUCAGUCCCUCUCUCCAGUCCCCUUAUGCCCACCAUAGCCCAUAGCUGCAGGGCAUCCCUCAGACGCCCCUUUAUCUAGUUCUGGUGACAAAAUGUGAUCAGCUCGCAGCAGAUACCACCUUAAAUGCUGAUGUCCCUCGAAGUCACUAGGGAGAAAUCAGGGCCUGGAAACCAGAUUCACUUUAAUGGACAUCAAAUAUUUUGAGAAAGUGAGAAACUCAAGAAUGACAGCUCACAGCUGGCAGCUAACCCAGAGGUUCCCAAGGAACAUCAGAGAUAUUCCCACAAUACAGAGAGGAAAGGUCAUGCCGUCCAUGUCUGAAAUAAGACAGUGACUAGGAGACUCAACAGCUAUACAUUCCUCUCUUCUCCUAACAAAAAUGACAACUGCUUCUCUACCAACGACUUCAUUUUAAUCUCCCUGGCUCCUAAAUAAAAAUUAUUAAGAUAACCAAUCAUUAGUUGCACCCACUUCCAGGCAAUAUCCAAUCCAGACCAGUCCUCUCUUCCUCAAACCCUCUUUAGACUGGCCAAGGACAAUUCCAUGGUUCCUUUGCAGUGCAAUUCCCCUGCCCAAUAAAUUGAACUUCUUUUUCUUACAGAUGUGCAUGUGAUUGUCUUUGUCUCAUGAGCUUUAACUCGCUGUGGGCAUGUGUUGCUUUGGAGCAGCCCAGCAUUGAGUUCCACUUCUGAAAAGUGCCUUGACAUCCCUUAAAGAGUUGGAUGCCAGUCUAGAAGGAUUCAUAUCUGGGCCUCUUCUAGUCCAAGGUCAGGCAUGUGCCUUAGCUUAAAAAGUAGACACCCUCCCCGGGAUUUGAAACCUGAGUGAGAGGCACAGCACCGGGUUUGGUGUCCAGGACAGACUGGCCGUGUUGCAACACCAGUGACGUGCUUCCUGCUUCCUGGUCCUCUAACCCUGCCCGGUCCUAGCCAAGGCCUCAACUUUCUCACUGAAACGGGAGAAGUUCCCUUAUCCUCGUCGCAGGGCAUGUGAUGGGGUAUGACUCGCUGUGUCCUUGCACUGUGGCUCAAACCUCUAGGGGGAGGCAUGCAGUCAGGCAGUCUGUGGGGCUCCUACCCAACGGCAGCAUCUAGCUGUGAAUGUUUACAGCUGAAGCCCCAGUGGGUGGAUGUUACAGUGUGCUCUUCCACUUUAUCCGUGGGUCCACAGGCAGCCUGCAUUAGAGCCCCUGCCUUAUCUUCCACCAUCCGCUGUUCAAUGCUGGUGUGUUCUUCCAUCAAUAUGUUCCUCUUGACAUCCAGCUGCUUGUGUGUGUGGCUACCGGGGUCUCAGUGAUUUUAUAGGCACAGGAUGGGGGUGUGGCAGGUCAAGGUGGUCUUGGGAAAUACAACAUUUGGGCACUGAAACAGAAAUGCCUGUCCUCACCUAGGUCCGUGGACAUAGGCCCAGGGGUGGAGCCCUCACCAGAGACCCUCCCAGCAUUUCCCUGCCCCUCUUCUCGUAUCACCAUCAAUGCAGUAACUCCUUUCACUUAAUUGAGCCAGGUUCGAUUUGUUCUUGCUUUUCAGUAGAAAGCGUGCAGAUGCACAGCUGUCAUCCAAACAGUGGUACUCACUCUCCACCUGAACGGAGGAGCUCAUUCUGCAUCAGGGUGGGUGAAAAUGCCUUGGAUUGAUCCACUCCCGGGGCUGGGGCAGGGACUCUCAGGCCCCUGGAAUGUUAUUUCCAUCAUUUUAUUAACCUGGAAAAUACGUCCUUUUAUUCUGAUUGUGUGGUCACCAGCAACCGCUGAUUUUUAAUAUGGGCUCUCAUGCACUCUGAUAAGAGGGUCCCUGAUGAUCAGGCACCAACUCCUUGUCACUGAGAAACAAGGGCUCCUGUUUGUCAACGAAUGCCUUGACAUUGAGCUUUAUCCCACAAGGGGGAGUUGGUUAACAGGAGGUGGUUACUCUGUGCAGAACAAUAUGUGUGUUCUGACAAAAUCAAAUCACCAGCUCUGCAAACCCACAGAUCUCACAGGCUGGGUUUGAGCCACUAAAGAAUGCUGCCUCCAUCACUGCUGGCUGCCCUCCAUGGCAUUCCUAUCUGUGACAACUGCCACCAGCUACGUCCGCUGGACGUCAACAUCCCAAACAGACACUAAGCUUUGUGCAGAGUCUUCGCUCAAAUGUUCUUUAUACUAGGGUGACUUGAUCCAAAGGGAUUUCAGGAUAAUACACGGAGAUCAGGAAAGAUUAUGCUAUGGUUCACUUCUUCCUUUUGUCAUGGUGACAAGCUCUGGUGCCCACCUAUGUCUGGACUGGGCCCUGCUGUCAUGUUUCAGGGUAGAAAGCAGGCUCUGUCUGUGCCUGGGAAUCCUCGAGUUAGUUCCCAGAGUCAAAGCACCUCCCAUUGCCUUUAGAACUGCUCAGAAUGUUCUUGGAAAUAUUUUACUUGUACUCAAGAGCAUUUGUUUUUGAAAUUGGGUCUGGUAUACUAGUUAAAGCACAGAGUGCCAGAGUGUGACACCUGACACCACCCGUCACUAGCUUGACCUUAGGCAACUUACCUCUCUGUGCCUCCCUUUCCCCAUCUGAAAAUAUAAAUAAUGGUAGGACCUACCUCACAGGGCUGCUGUCAUGUUUAAAUGCAUUAAUAGAUGUGAAUUCCCUAGGACAGGUACCUACAUUCCUUCAACUCAUUAAGAAUUAUGUGUUAGCUGUUAUUCUAUAAUUGCCCGAGAGUAAUAUGUGUAAGCCAUAGAUUUCUCAGGGUUUUCUGGCUUCUUUGAAAAUAAAGGGAAACUGUGGCAUUGGGAAAUUGGCACAGCAAUGGGCCUUGGUCUAAUGGGUUUAUAGGUGAAAAGAUUCUAUUUGAAAAGUUUCUCGAUUUCCAUACUGUAAAUGCUGUUUUGUUAGUUAACUGUUCCAUUUUGAAACUUGCAAUCCCCCUCUCUCCACAUAUAUAAACUGACAUGUGAACUCCACAAAGGCUGCCAUGUGUCAACCCUGUAUCUCCACUGCCUGAAAUGGUGCUUUGGGACACAGCACCUGCCCAGUAACAUCUGUACAUCUAAAUUAAAUUUAAAUACUGACCUUUCAUCUAAGUGAACACAAGAGGUUUUGAAGUGGUCAUUGGUCAACAUUAUCUGAGUUUUCACAAGACCUCAGUAUACUUGGCAAAGCAUUUCACAAGUGAUAGACAAGGCAUCCACUUUAAAAGCAAAAUUCACAGAGCAUUCUACUGGAUGGGGCUGCUCUAAAGAAUUCAUGCCUCUGUCUGGAAACUCGCAGUGUGGCGAUUCUUAAAUCAUGGAGUUCUCAUAAGCCAAAGGGAUUGAGUGCAUUUUUGAAAAAUGAACUCGAGGACACGGCCUGAGUUGAUGCAACCUGCUCUGCAGGACACUCCUACCCCCGGUGCCCUCACUAGAAAAGAGGCCCUUCAUGGCUUCUGAUGAUGGUGCUAGCUCCCAAAACCAGGCUUCCAGGCUCUCUGACCCCCAAAACAAGUAUUAGGAAUGACCAGGAAAUCACCCCAGGGGACUCGCACUGAAGCACAGAGGCCCAUCAAGUCCCCAAGCCCAGAUGCUGCCAUAUUCUGUACAUACCGGGUCAGGCAUGAAGAGGUCCACCCCUUGCCCUGUGGAGAGCGCCACCAGCGUUGUGCCACCCUCUAGGGCAUAAUCUGUGGCCACAUUGUUGUGGCCAGGCUGCAGGGUGUCCCUUUCAGAAGGCUUAUCCUCUGAGGUCUGUGGAAGAGAGGAGAGAAACAUCGUAUGUUAUUUUCUUAGGAGAGAACCCUUAGUCAGAGGCCUGGGAUUCAGAUAUCCUUGAACAACUGAAGGAAGUGCAGUUCUUAGAAUUUUAAGCUGCCACAAAUCUAUCCAGAGGAAAUGAGUUGCUAUGUUACUGACAAUUCUAGCUGAGUCAUGGCAAAGGCCAUUUUGGGACUUCUUCCUUCAUAUUUUCCAAACGCAUGUGUCUGCAGCCUGCCAAGAAAAGCACUCCCAGAUAAAAUCACAGCCCUUCUUCGUCAUAAGCCGCACUCCUAAGUCAGUAUAGUCACACCUCACGUAUCACUGAGCUGAGGGUGCAGCGUCUUAUUCUGCACACUCAACAUCCUCUGAAGUAUGUAGGACUGUCACCUCCGUGGCUCAGAGGGAGAACUCUGAGAACAAAACAAUCUGAAAUUAGCAAUCUGCAGCUGGAGCAGCUGCACAACUCACUCAGCAGCAGGAAGCCCUGACUCUGGCUUUCUCUCUGACUCUGUGGAUGCUCCUCAUUUGCUUCUCUUCCCCACAGCUCCUCUUCCUCUGGUUCUUUAAAUCUUGGUGUUCUUCCUAGUUUUUACUGUAGCCCUUGGUGCAUCCAGCCAGUGCAAAUGGUUCUUCCUCGCCUCCUUAUUCAAAAUUAGGACUCUUGGCUGCUAUGUUUAUAUUGAGUCAUGCCACCACCCACCACACACACACACACACACACACACACACACACACACACUCUCUCUCUUGAUGGUGUAGGAGAUAGAGUCCUGACCCAGAGUGACCCAAUCAGUCUAUCUCCUCCAGAAAGGUAGAAUUAGAGGACAUUCUGGUGAUGUAGAGUUAGAAGCCUUGUAAACCGGAAUGGUCUCACCCUCCAUGCUCUGACCUCAUGGUUUGGUCUUCCAGGUGCUUGAUGCAAUGAGCAUCAGCGGCUUCUUUGAAGUCCCCAACACAUUUUCAUUCAUGGGUUUAGUGUCUGACUUCCCAGCUAUACUGUAAGCAACCUGAGGGAGAUACCCACUCCGUCUUAUUCGUAACACAAUCUGGGCCAUGAUAGUUACAUUUAAUUAACACAUACGCACACACAGAUUCAUAUAUAUGUAAGUUUACACACACACACAUAAAUAUAUACAUGCAUACCUGUAGUGGUUUUCAGCAUAAGAAUCCUACACUUGAUUUUUAGAGUUAUACUAUUCAAUUUUUUUUUUUUUUGAGAUGGAGUCGCGCUUUGUCACUCAGGCUGAAGUGGAAUGGCACGAUCUCUACUCACUGCAACCUCUGUCCCCUGGGUUCAAGGAAUUCUCCUGCCUCAGCCUCUCAAGUAGCUGGGACUACAGGCAUGUGCCACCACAUCUGGCUAAUUUUGUAUGUUCAGUAGAGAUAAAGUUUCUCCAUGUUGGUCAGGCUGGUCUCAAACCCCUGAUCUCAGGUGAUCCACCUGCCUCAGCCUCCCAAAGUGCUGGGAUUACAGGCAUGAGUCACCUUGCUUGGCCCUCCAAUUUUUUUUUUAACUGAUUGUUAAUAGUACAUAUUUUAAAAUUUAAUUAUUAUUAUGAACGAGUUUAUUGCUAAUAUAUAGAAAUCCAGUUGGUUUUGUAUUUUGGUCUUGUAUCCUGUGACCUUGCUGAACUCACUCGUUCUAGGGAGUGUUUUGGGUUUUUGUUUGUGACUUCGUUGGGAUUUUCUACAUAGAUUAUCACCCCAUCUGCAAAGAAGGACAAUGUUACUGCUUUCCAAUCUGUUUCCUUUUCGUUAUUUUUCUUGCUUUAUUGUGCUGACUACAACUUCCAGGACUAAGUAUGCUGAGUAAAAGUGUGAGGGAGGAUAUCCUUGCCUUGCUCCUGUUCUUAGAGGAUAAGCAUUCACUUUUUCACCAUUAAAUAUAAUGCUAGCUAUAGAUUUUUGUAGAUGUACCUGAUAGAGUUGAGGGGAGCUCCUCCUCUAUUUCUUGUUUGCUAAGACUGUUUUUUUUUUUCAGAGACAGGGUUUUACUCUGUUGCUCAGCCUGGAAUGCAGUGUUGGGAACACGGCUCACUACACCCUCCAACUCCUAGGCUCAAGCUAUCCUCCCAUCUCAGCCUCCCAAGUAGCUGGGACCACAGGCAUGUACCACCAUCCAUCUCUCUGACUAAUUUGUUUUUUUUUUUUUUUUUGAGAUGGUGUCACAUUAUGUUGCCCAGGCCGGUCUCAAAUUUCUGGCCUCAAGUGGUCCUCCCACCUCAGCGAUUUUCUUUUUCAAGUCAUGAGUGAUUUUUGAAUUUGUUCAAGUGAUUUUUCUCCAUCAGUUGAUGUAAUUAUAUGAUUUUUCUUCUUUAGCCUGUCGAUAUGGUGAAUUACACUGACUGAUUUUGAAUACUGGACCAGCCUUCCAUUACCAGACUAAACUCCACUCAGUCACGGUGUAUAAUUUGUUUUAUGCGUUGUUGAAUUCUAGUUGCCAAUAUUUUGCUUAGGGAUUUUGCAUUUACUGAUUUUUUUAACCAUUGUUACCCAAACACCAGGGGUUUGGUCUAGGUCUUGCUGCUUAUGAGACAAAAAGGUAGUCACUGAGACAGCAAGUAUUGCAAAGGAAGAAGGCUUUAAUCAGGUGCUGCAGCCAAGAGGAUGGGAGCUCAGUUUCAAAUCCAUCUCCCCGACAGACUAAAACUAGGGGUUUAUAUAACAGAGAAGAAAUGUGACAAUGUGUAAGAAUAUAGGAACUAGAAAGUGGCAAGGAAGAGUCAUGAGGAGUGAGGGCUUCAGGUUUCUCAUUGUCAGGAUGGGGUGAUCUGGUGAGCUUCAGUUCUCUAUACUCUUUUUGUGAGGUCUGAAUGUCCUUUUCUGAGAAAAGAACUCAGAUAAAACAAAUGUAAGCUUCAAGCUUUAAGAACAAAAAGGUCGUUUUCUGUGUUUCUCCAAAAGAACCAUCUAUGAUAUUAUUGGGUCAGUUUUACUAUCACUGUCUGGUUUUUGCAUCAGGGUAAUGCUGGCUUUAUAAAAUGAACUGGAAAGGGUUCCUUUCUCUUCUUUUUUUCUGGAAGAGAUUGAAUAAACUUCGAACAUUUAGUAUAAUUUUCUCGUGAAACAUCUGGGCCUGGAGACUUCUUAUUUGAAUUCUGUUGUUUAAUGGUUGAGCCCUGAAACUAGCCUUUCACAUUAUCUAUUUGAUACUGGGUGAGUUAGAGUACUGUGCUUUUUGAGAAGUUGGUCCAUUUCAUCUGAGUUGUCAAAUUUAUGUGUGUAGAGUUGUUUGUAAUAUUCCCUUCAUAUCCUUUUGAUGGCUCCUAACUUUUUGAAAAACAAAACAACCUGAGAUUUACAAUCAGUGAUAAGAGGGUUAUUUUAAUUUAUCCUGACAAACACCAGAUAGUAUUGUCUUUCCCACUUCAUUAUUUGAUUGGUGGGGGAAAAUAUGACACCUCUUUUCUUUUAAUUUCUAUCGUUAUAAGUGAGGUAAAUUUUUUAUGUGUUUAUUGAUCAUUUUUAUUUUUGAACCUCCCAUGUUCAAGCAAUUCUCCUGCCUCUGCCUCUUGAGUAUCUAGGCCUACAGCACAUGCCAUCAUGCCUGGCUAAUUUUUUGUGUUUUUAGUAGAGAUGGGGUUUCACUGUGUUAGCCAGGAUAAUCUCUAUCUCUUGACCUCGUAAUCUGCCCAUCUCAGCCUCCCAUGAAGUGCUAGGAUUACAGGCGUGAGCCACUGUGCCUGGCCUUUACUUCCAGAAUUUAUUCAAACCCUUCAGGCCUAAGGACUAUUGUGGAAGAAAUGGGCAUGUGAGAUUGCAAGGGCUGGUCUUGAGGAAUCAAAUUAAUUCAGAGCCUCCAAAUCCAGGAGAAGUACACAGAUGGCUCAAUAGCUGAACAGCAUGCUUGUUUUGUACAGCUGAGUCCUACAAACCAAGCUCACAGUAGCUUAAUGUAUAGAUUUGUAGGUAAGUCAAUUUUGUAACCUUGCCUUUUGACUUUUGGUCUUUGGCUCUUACAUUGCUUAAAAGGAGUUUUAAAGUUAAUGAGUGCCUGCCCACUUUCAUUCCCAUCUAGCCGGGACCAUUUAAUUGGCUUUCAGUCUUUUGAUUCUAAGUCCCUGGGCCAUAGGGGUCCCACCAAAAGACAUUAUGGACCUGGGGCAGGCAGCCACAGCCUGGAUGUGGGAACAAAGUAAAAGCUUGGCCAUCAAUAUUGCUUCUGGCAUACCUUGACCAAAAAAAAAAAAAAAAAACACCAAGCCUUCAAGCCGACUGAAUGGACCCACCUCUUAGCCAAAGGAAAUCCCCACCCCAGAAACUGAAAAACUACACUUUGGGAGGCCGAGGCGGGUGGAUCACAAGGUCAAGAGAGAGAGAGACCAUCCUGGUCAACAUGGUGAAACCCCAUCUCUACUAAAAAUACAAAAAUUAGCUGGGCAUGGUGGUGCGCACCUGUAGUCUCAGCUACUCGGGAGGCUGAGGCAGGAGAAUUGCUUGAACCCAGGAGGCGGAGGUUGCAGUGAGCCGAGAUCUCGCCAUUGUACUCCAGCCUGUGUAACAAGAGCGAAACUCCGUCUCAAAAAAAAAAAAAAAGAAAAACUAGUUCAGGGCCUGAACUAAAUGCUAUGCUGUGGGGGAGGCGGGGACCCUUUUUAGUGCACCUGGGCACCUACCGCAAACCCACAUACCAUACCCACAUCAUCCUGCCCGCCGUGACUUGCUAGGCCUUCCCUCCAGGGAACCAGAGCUUCCUCUGCCGCAGGGCCAUCAGGGGAGGGUCCCGCAGGGCCGUGGAGACCCUCCAGACAGGAGGUCUCACUGUGGACACUGUUCUUAGAGAUGUGACUGCGCCACAUCCCUCAGUUUAAGUUUGUCAAGCCCUGCCCAGCUGCGUCUGGGCAUAGGAUGCCGGGUCCAGUUACUCCCUAAGAGCAUUUAUCUGCAUUUUCAAGACGAAGAAACAUUUUUUCCUACGUAUUGCCUUACGAAAGACCCAGACAAGCCGCUAUUGAAGAUGUCCGCAGCCUUCCGCAGUGCAAGCUGGGGCCCCUGAAAUGUGCCGCCCCCUCUGUGGAGUCCCUCCGUGAGCCGCGGGCCCCUCUGCCUUUCCCCAAGACGGCUGCCUCCGCGGUCCUCCUGGCCCUUCCUCAGGUCCCUCCGUGUCCCUCCUCAGGUUCCUGCGAACACCUCCUCGCUCUCCCGCUUUGAUGACUGAUGUUCAAUUUUUUUUUUUUUUUAGACAGAGUUUCGCUCUUGUUACCCAGGCUGGAGUGCAAUGGCACGAUCUCGGCUCACCGCAACCUCCACCUCCUGGGUUCAGGCAAUUCUCCUGCCUCAGCCUCCUGAGUAGCUGGGAUUACAGGCACGCGCCACCCUGCCCAGCUAAUUUUUUGUAUUUUUAGUAGAGACGGGGUUUCACCAUGUUGACCAGGAUGGUCUCGGUCUCUUGACCUCGUGAUCCACCCGCCUCAGCCUUCCAAAGUGCGGGAUUACAGGCUUGAGCCACCGCGCACGGCCAAAAUGAAAGGUUUUUAAUGAAUGGCUGCAAUCUGGAGUUUCUCUCCACAAGUGUUCUUACAUGUGCUGAUUCUAACUGGGGAUAGAAAAACAAGCCCUUGACUUCCUCCCCAACCCCCUGAUUUGUGCUUAUCUGUUGCUUUUCUCUGUACUUAUUUCCUCUGAUGGUUUUUAUAGCAACAAUGUUAAAAGGCUGAUUGGCUGGAGAAGUAUGGCAGAUUGAGUGAAUUUUAAUGGACAGAGUCAGUAACAAGACACUUUACAAGGCCGGGCGCGGUGACUCACGCCUGUAAUCCCAGCACUUUGGGAGGCUGAGGCGGGUGGAUCAUGAGGUCAAGAAAUCGAGACUAUCCUGGUCAACAUGGUAAAAAUCCGUCUCAACUAAAAACACAAAAAAUUAGCUGGGCAUGGUGGCUCGUGCCUGUAAUCCCAGCUACUCGGGAGGCUGAGGCAGGAAAAUUGCCUGAACCCAGGAGGCUGAGGUUGCGGUGAGCUGAGAUCGCACCAUCGCACUCCAGCCUGGGUAACCAGAGCAAAACUCCGUCUCAAAAAAAAAAAAAAAAAAAGAUAUCAAGGUAAACAAGAUGUAUCUAAGUUAAUAUAUGCUUUCAUCUUUUAAAAUUGGAUUUGGUUCAUGGGAGGGGCCAAAUAUUUCUUACUAGCCCUGAUGAUUAAGCUGAGAAACCUGGUUUCAGCCACACCCAUACACAAAGACCUGAUGUAAGGUAGCGCAGACUAGGCUGCCCACCGCUUUUAAAAUCAGGAGGAAGGGCGCAGUGAGAGAAAAGUAACUUUGUUUCCAAAGCUAGCAGCAGCGAAGCAGCUGGCUUACAUCUUAGCCCUCCAGAAACCACUUCAAUGGCACGAUCUCGGCUCACCGCAACCUCCGCCUCCUGGGUUCAAGCAAUUCUCCUGCCUCAGCUUCCCGAGUAGCUGGGAAGCCACCGCGCCUGGCCCGAUGUUCAAUUUUUUUUCUUAUGCUUGGCCAGUUGUUUGUUUUCUCUUGAAAAAUUUCGCCGGGCGCGGUGGCUCAAGCUUGUAAUCCCAGCACUUUGGGAGGCCAAGGCGGGUGUAUCACGAGGUCAAGAUAUCGAGACCAUCCUGGUCAACAUGGUGAAACCCCGUCUCUACUAAAAAUACAAAAAAUUAGCUAGGCAUGGUGGUGCGUGCCUAUAAUCCCAGCUACUCAGGAGGCUGAGGCAGGAGAAUUGCCUGAACCCAGGAGGCGGAGGUUGUGGUGAGCCGAGAUAACGCCAUUGCUCUCCAGCCUGGGUAAGGAGCGAAACUCUGUCUCAAAAAAAAAAAAAAAGAAAAGAAAAGAAAAAAAGAAACAAAGAUUUUUAUUCAUGUCCUUAGUCCACUUUUUAAUGGCAUGAUUUGGAAUGUUUUGUUGCAUUUAUUGUAAAUUCUGGUUAUUUGUCAUCUGUUGAAUACACAGUUUGCAAAUAUUUUCUCUCAUUUUACAGAUCGUCUGUUCACUCUAGUCAAUAUUUCUUUCUCUGUGCAGAAGCUUUUUAGUUUAAUUAGAUCUAAUUUGUCUAUUUUUGUUUUUGUUGUCUGUGCUUGUAAAGUGCUAGUCAUGAAUUCUUUGUCUAUAUCAAUGUCUAGAAGAGUUUUCUCUAGGUUUUCUUUAAGUAUUUUUGUAGUUUCAUAUCUUACAUUUAAAUCUUUAAUCCAUCUUGUGAUUUUUGUAUAUGGUGAGAGAUAGGGGUCCAGUUUCAUUCUUCUGCAUAUGGAUAUUCAAUUUUUCCAGCACCAUUUAUUAAAAAGGGUGUUCUUUUUCCAGCAUAUAUUGUUAUUGACUUUGUCAAAGAUCAGUUGGCUGUAGAUAUGUGGCUUUACUUCUGGGUUCUCUAUUCUGUUCACUGAUUUAUGUGUCUGUUUUUAUACGAGUGCCAUGUUGUUUUGGUUACUAUAGCCUUGUAGUAUAGUUUUAUGUCAGGCAAUGUGAUACGUCUGGCUUUGUUCUUUUUGCUUAGGGUUGCUUUGCCUAUUCUGAUUAUUUUAUGCUUUCAUAUGAAAUUUAGAAUUUUGUUUUCUAAUUCUGUGAAAAAUGAUGUUGGUAUUUUGACAGAGAUUGUAUUGAACCUGCAGAUUGCUUUGGGCAAUCUGGUCAUUUAAUGAUAUUAGUUCUUCCCAUCUGUGAGCACAGAAUGUUUUUCCAUUUGUUUGCGUCAUCUAGGAUAUAUUUCAUCAGUAUUUUAUAGUUUUUCCUGUGGAGAUUUUUCACCUCCAUGGUUAAAUAUAUUUCUAGGUAUUUUAUGUUUUUAGUUAUUGUAAAUGGGAUUGCCUUUUUGAUUUGGUCCUUGGCUAGAUUGUCAUUUGUUUUUAGAAGUGGCACUUAUUUCUGUACACUAAUUUUGUAACCUGAAACUUAACUGGAUUCAUUUAUCAAUUGUAAGAGUUUUUGGUGGAAACAUCAAGGUUUUCAAGAUAGAUUAUAUCAUAUGAAGGUCAUAUCAGCAGCACACAGGGAGAAUUCAAUUUCCUCUUUCCAGUUUGGAUAACUUUAUCUCAUUUGCCUGAUUGCUCUGGCAAGAACUACCAGUGUUUACAAGCUAUUGAAAUCGUUCCCAUUCUUUGACUUCUACCGAGCUUAUGACGUCUAGUAUGUGCAGUGCACUCACAGCUCAUCCUUACUUGCCGUGUUUCAGGCUGAGUUUCAGCCAGGGGAGGGGUUGCUACCUUCCUAGAUGGUCCAGCAGCCACGCUUCUUCCCCACCUUCCCUAAGUGGUUCCAUCAUUCCCUCCGUCAGAACCACCCUUGACCACCAGUGCUCCCUUGCUGCCACUGUCCUGCUCUGCUCUAUCUUCAGCCAGGGUGACCUGAACAAGUCUCUUCUUCCUGUCCCCCCUUUCUCCUUUUUUCUUCCCCUCUCCUGCACCCUCCGCCAUCUGUCUUCCACUCCAUGUUGCCUUCAGUAGAGUCCCCAGUCACCUCCUGGUAGCUUUUUUAAAUAAUUCCAAACUUUAAAAAAAAAUUUAUUUAUUGUACUUUGAGUUCCGGGGUACAUGUGCAGAUCUUGCAGGUUCGUUACAUAGGUAUACAUGUGCCAUGCUGGUGGUUUGCUGCAUUCAUUGCCCUGUCAUCCACAUUAGAUAUUUCUCUUAAUGCUAUCCCUCCCCAGUACCCCUAACCCCCUGCUAUUCCUCCCUUAGCCCCCCACCCUUCAGGCCCCGGUGUAUGAUGUUCCCCUCCCUGUGUCCAUGUGUUAUCAUUGUGAGAAUAUAUGGUGUCUUCCAAACUUUUUUAUGAUAAAACAAAGCAGAGAUGGGAAAAAAAGCACAUGAACAGGUAAAGCUUAGUGAAGUACAAUGAGACAAACACUCUUGAAUUCCACACAGGUCAAGAAAUAGAGCUUUAUAAAACCAUUUAAAAUAACCACAAAUAAAAUUAAAUAGCCAGAAAUUAACCAAAGAAGUGAAAGAUCUCUACAAUGAAAGCUAUAAAAAAACUGAUGAAAGACAUCGAAGAGGACACAAACAAAUGAAAAGACAUGCUAUGAUCAUGGAACCAAAAACCAAUAUUGUUAAAAUGAUCAUACUACCCAAAGCAAUCUACAGAUUCAAUGCAAUUCCUGUCGAAAUACCUAUGUUAAUUUGGUCACAUACACAUACGUUAGACAUUUCCCCCCCCCACACACAUACAUAAUUUAUACUUUUAUUGCCUUAAUUUGGAACUUUUUAUAUUGCGUCUUCCUUAAAAAUGAAUUUUAAAUAAAGUUAGUGUUGAUUAUUUUGAUUUUUACCUUUAAUAGUGUUUUCCCAUUGUAGUAAUGAAGUAUUCUCGAUUUAAUUAUGAAUUUACCUCGUCAGUAAGGUUUGAAGUUUCCUGUGUGUUCAUGGUAGUAGUUACUGUCCUUUUGGUCCUGAUUAAAGAACGACUUUACACUUUUCUUAGAAGGCUGAUACAGGAGUGAUGAAUUCCCUCAGCCUAUCCUUGCUUGGGAAAUAAUAAUUCUUUAUUUCUGAUGAAUAGUUUUGCUGUGUAUAAUCUUGAUUGGCAGAACUUUCUUUUCUUCAGCAACUUGAAUACAUUCUUCCAAUAUCACCCAGCCUGCAAGGUUUCUGCCAAGAAAUCUGUUCAGAAUCUAAUGGAGAUUCCCUUAUAGGGGACUUGACACUUUUGCUUCUUUUAGAAUUCUCUCUUUGUCUUUUGAUGAAUCCAUUAUAAUAUGCCUCAGAAAGAAACUGUUUGGGUUGAAUUUGUAUGGGAAACUUUAAACUUCACGGAUCUGUAUCUUCACAUCUUUUCCAAGAAUUAGACAUUUUUCGGCUAUUAUUUAGUUAAAUAAGUUUCUGUGUCUUUUCCCAUCUCUUCUUCCUUUGUAACUAACUCAUAUAACACCAAACCUUGUUCUCUUAAUGCUGUUGCGUAGGCCCCAUAGUCUUUCUUACUUUUUAAAACUCUUUUUUCUCUUUUUUUCCUUAGACUUCAUUAUUUCAAAAGACUUGUGUUCAACUUCAGAAAUUUAUUUUUCUGCUUGCAUUCACCGAAUUCUUCAGUUCCAAGAUUUCUAUUUGGUUCUCUUUAUGAUAGCUAUCUCUCUUUUAAAUUUCUCAAUCAGGUCUUAGAUCGUGUUUCUUACUUCAUUGAUUUCCCUGUGUAUAUUUUCUUGCAUCUUGCUAAGUGGUCUCAAGAUCAUUAUGUUGAGGCUGGGAGCGGUGGCUCACACCUGUAAUCCCAGCACAUUGGGAGGCCAAGGUGGGUGGAUCACCUGAGGUCAGGAGUUUGAGACUAGCCUGACCAACAUGGAGAGACCCCAUUUCUACUAAAAAUACCAAAAAUUAGCCAGGCGUGGUGGUGUAUGUUUGUAAUCCCAGCUACUUGGGAGGCUGAGGCAGGAGAAUCGCUUCAACCUGCGGGGGUAGAGCUUGCAGUGAGCCUAGAUUGCUCCAUAGCAUGCCAGCCUAGGCAACAAGAGUGAAACUCCAUCAAAAAAAAAAAAUUACUAUUUUGAGGUUUUUUUUUUCCAGGGAAUUCAUAAAUUUCCAUUUAUUUGGUGCAAGUUUCUGAGAACUUAUUCUGCAUCUUUUGUGAUGUCAUGUUUCCCGUGUCCCUGUUUGAAAUCUGUGCAACUAGUGAAAUGUCCCUUUUGCAAGAUGAAGUGAUGAAAUGAGACCUUUGCAAGGCCACCAAAAGUUUCCUUGACUUCUAACAGCCUUUUGGGCAAGUAAGAGCCUGACUUCUUCAUGGAAAAACCUGGUGAGAUUGAUUCAAUACUGAGGAGGCUACUGCUUUUCUCAUAGAUCUGAGAACAGUUUUCACAUUUCAGAUAAACUGUUCUGGGUGUUGGUGCAUCUUAGUCUUAGGAUAUGUAGGUACUUUAAAUCAUCUACAAGAAAUAUGGAGCCAGGUUGUUUUGGUAAGUAUUCCUUUGAGAGGGCCUGGACACAAACUGUGGUGACACCAUCCUGUGAGCCCUGGAGUUGGGUCUCUGUGCUUCCCUCUUGGUUUGACUCUGGUUUCAGGGAAAUGCUUCAUAGUAGGAGACAGUGAGAGGUGGCUUCGUGGGCAUGUUUUUAUCCUAUUGCUCUGGGAAAAAGAGGGUAGAGUAGACAAACAGGGAGAUGGUGGGUGAUGAGGAGUUGUCAAGGGCAAGACAAACCAUUUUGAUUACAUCAUUACCUCGUUACAGGAGAAAGAAUUUGACUAUUGUCAGUGUAAAAAAAAUUAAGAAACCAUUAUUUGAAGCUAAAUUUUACUUUCCCCAUUUCUGAAAAAGAUUUUUCUCAUGAUUUAUUUCUAACUCAAAUUUUCCAGCACCGUAAUAACUUUAGUCGGUUGAUCUAUCAUGUGAGCUAUUAACAAACAACAAGAAAGAGUGAAAUCCUAAAGAAGCCUCAACAUGAAAUAUUUCUGCAAGGCACAAAGAAAUUCACAUUCUUGUACGAGGGAGCUGCAGCAUUGUCUAGACCUCUCAUGGGCACAAAGACACCAACCCUGAUAUUUCAGUUAACUAUGAAACCAAACACUGAACUGCCAUUCCACCAUUAUGCCUCGUCUUUUUAUUUUAUUUUUUUCUGAGAUGGAGUCUAACACUGUCACCCAGGCUAGAGUGCAGCGGUGCAAUCUUGGCUCACUGCAACUUCUGCCUCCCGGUUUCAAGUGAUUCUCCUGCCUCAGCCUCCUGAGUAGCUGGGAUUACAGGUGCCUGCCACCAUGCCCAGCAGUUUUUAUUUUUUUUGAAUGGAGUUUUGCUCUUUUUGCCCAGACUGGAGUGCAAUAACAUGAUCUUGGUUCACUUCAACCUCUGCCUUUUGGGUUCAAGUGAUUCUCCUGCCUCAGCCUCCCGAAUAGCUGGGAUUACAGGCAUGCACCACCAUGUCCAGCUAAUGUUGUAUUUUCAGUAAAGACGCAGUUUCACCAUGUUGGCCAUGCUAGUCUUGAACUCCUGGCCUCAGGUGAACCUCCUGCCUCAGCCUCCCAAAGUGCUGGGAUUACAGGUGUGAGCCACCGCACCUGGCCCACCUCCAAUCUUUAGGUCUUAAAGAGAGAUAGUAUUCAUUUAUUCUACAAAUAUUUAUUUAGGACCUACUAUUUAUUAGGUAAGUAGUGAGUACAAUAGCUGACUGGAAGACACAAAUAAUAACUAAGUAAACAAAGUGUAAUGAAAGCUGCUGAUUUAGGAAUUAAAUAGUUUCAGAUUCAAAUCACAAUCUGUUUCUUAACUCCCAUGUAACAUUGGGAAAGACACUUAAACUUGGAGACCCUCCAUUUCUAUAGUUGUAAAAGAAGAAUUAAAAAUGCCUGGCUCUGUGGUUGUCGUGAGGAAUAAAGGGGUAAGUUAAGUAGUAUUCAGCAUGCUGGCUCCAGUGUAAUACUACUGUUAUUUCUCUUCAAAAUGUUUUGGAACCUAAGCAUGUGCUUAAAUCAUUGAAACACCCUUGUUAGGGUCUUAUCUUAAGAUGGAUCAGUGAAGAUAUAGAUAAAAUUGCCAGAAAACACAGGAAAGUAACAGACCAUGUUUCAAGUCCUUGAAGCCUAAGAAGGGCUGGUCACCUGAGGUUUUAGGACAAAGCAGAGAUGGACAGAUUAGGGACACAGUGCCAUAAACAUGACCUGGAGCCAUGUCAAUAUGCUGCCUCUGCAGUGCUCUCUUCUGCGGUUUGAUGCAGAGUUAAAGAACUCCUGGGCCCUUGGGAUUUUUUAGUCAAAUGAGCAUCAAUCGCCAUUGCUCUUUUUCCUGUUUUUCCUGGGUUGCUCAACCCCACGUAUGUGAGAUAAACUAAAAUAGGUCAUGGUGGGUAAAAUCUCUGCUUAAAAUGAAAUCUUGCCAGACUGCAGCACAUCUGGGAAGCUUCUGUUCUUUCUCUUCUUGUAAAUAUUCUCAGAAACACAACAAACACAUCAAAAACCACUUUCUUCACUUCUAGUGGACUGACCAUUUAUUGUAUUUUCCCGGAAACUGGAUUUGGAGCUGACAUGAGUGAACACUGGACUUCAAAUGUGAGUAACUGAAAGGUAGCCUUGGAGCAGUGCCGACGAUCAGUAGCUGACCCUGCUUUUGUCAGUCAUGAAGAAUGUUUCCUUCUCUAGAUAGAGGAAUAGAAACCGAUGUGUCCAACCCAAGUUUACCUGAACAGUCACUGGGAUACUCAUCACACCAUCAUGUCCCAUCUAAUCCCUUUUGUUACCUUCAAAUAUAGUCCCAUUUCCUCAGGACCAGAACUCCCUUAUGUGGGAAGCAGGACCAUCCUUGAGUUACUCCUCAUUGGCUGGGAUACAUGCCAAUAUUUCAGCAAAGCAUGAAUCUGAUAAAAUUUGCCUGAACUGGUUCCUGGUUUCAGAAUGAGCUACCACCACCCAGGGCCUCUAUUUAGGGCAACCUGGUAGAGUCAGGAGCUGAAAGCUGUCUUGUACUGUUACACUGAUAAUAAUAUCAAAGUAUUUAGUAAAUAUGAGUGACAUUGAUUCUCCUAUCAGUAAAUCAUAGUCACAUCUAAAGGUGACUGAUUUUCACUGUCUUAAGUUAUUUCUGACUUUCUGGCAACCCUCAGCUUCUGUGUCUUCUUUUCUCUUUUGAAUUCUGUCCUUUCUCCUGAGUUGGGAGGUUGUCUGGACAGUGUCCCUUUCAUCUGUGUUGCUCCUCUCCCCACCAAACCACUUGUAUUUGUUCCCUCUGUUCAUAUAGGACAUUUCCCCCAGGACACUGUGGCCAGACUGACCAGGCAUCUUCACCUCUGCCACUUCCCUUUCCUCUGAAUGUUAAUCUGUGUUUUCGUAAACCUGUGAACUUUGAGUGAAUGCUGCAUACAAAGAGCUUCUCAAAAUUGGGCCUCAUGUUCUAAACGGGACCUAGAGUUGGGAUUCCAGGGAAGGCCAGCUGGCUCCCAUAUCUAGAAGCACCUUGCUGUGUAAGACAUUGUCUACGGAAUAUCAAGGUCACCUGGGACCUUGAAAACAUUCAGAAAAAGAUUACUACAUCUGAAUUUCUGAAGACAGUUUUAGUAGGGAUGAAUUCAAUGUAAUCCAUGGAUUGUUCAUUACUUUGUAGAAAGGUUAAGUUAAUUAACGUUUCUUUUAGCCCUUUGGGAUAGGACCUCUGAAUCAAUAAGAGGCAUAAAUGAGAGAUGUCAGGGAGGACUGAAGGAUGCUGAUGGAGGUGGGAACGCUUGAAGUGACCCGCUUGUGCUGGACUAAAAGUGAUUCGGGCUCCACCCAAAUGCAGGAGGAGUGAGUAUUCCAGUGACUGCUUUUGGGUAAAUGUGGGCUGGCAUGUGGGUUUGGGUUCCUCUAUCUAGAAAGGAAAUGCUCCUCAUGACUGACAAAAGCAGGAAUAGGUUUUAUCAACAGCUCUACUCCAAGGCUCUCCAGUUACUGGAGUGAUCUCUAGAAGACAGCAUCAUCAGAAGCUUCAUUAGCAACUAACUCGCUUCUGUGGUGCUGUGUUGUUGCUAAUAGUUUUAGUUACAGCAACUGCACCAGGGAACCUGAUCCAAAAAAGGUACAAACCCUAGCCUGUGCUCCUAAGGAGAUUAUGGGAAAUGAAACCACCACAACUGGCCUCUCUUUGGGAGGAAACUGGAAAUGGCAAGAGGGACCGCUCAUGGGCCGGACCCCAACACUUGGGUCAUGACUCACCCUGGACGGGUCACGUGUGGGCCGCACUGCUUCAGGCCUGAUUGUGGAUCACGCCCUGGAUUCUUCUCCUCCAGGUGCAGUUCAGUUGCCAUGAUGCCCCUUGAGUCAAUGAGCUCUUUGGACUGCUCCUCUGCUCAAGCAGAAGAUGAUCUGCACAUCACUUUUGAGAAGCUGACAAGAACCACUGGCUUCUUUAGGCAGGUGGUGGAACAUGGGUGUAUCCUGCAAGGGCCCAUAGUAUUGUCCUUGCCUCAGGUGACAGAGGCUUGGAGUUUUUCAGCUCUCGACCUAAAAUUCCUGAAUGAUUGUUUUCAAAUUUCUUCACAAAUAUUAGGAUGAACUUGCCACCCCUGUCAGGGGGAAUGGGGUUCCUGAGAGCUGAGGGGCAGAGUUCAGAUCCUGAUCCUCUUCACUUUGUAGAGCAAAGGCGGUAACUCUCUUUCUCUGUCUCUCUCUAUAUCUCUCUCUCUCCCUCCCCAGCUUCCCUUUAAGGAAAUCCCCAGGAUUAGGUGAGAUCUCAGAUCUAAUGGAGAAUCUGAGCUGUUCCAAGGAACACCUGGGGAUCCCGCAAUCUGAAAAGGUAGAACCAAGGCAAAGGCAGGCGGAAAUACCCAGAAGCUGGGUACUGAGCAUGUUAGGGGGAAUUUUUUUCGGGGGAGGGAAGUCAAUAAUGAGGUGUAGACAGCAGCGAGAAUGAGAAGCCAAAUUGUAGACUGCAAAAUCAAACAGCAUCUGCCCUUUCUCCCUUGUCAGGGAGAGUAUGAUAGGAAGUCUCCAAUAUAGAAAGCCUGCUGUGUCCUUCACUUUCCCCCACAGUCUCAGAACAGGCUUGAUUCUGAAAUGUCUGUUAUCUUUAGGCUCUGGCCUGAUUUUCUGGAUCAUAAGGCCAAGGGGAGCUGGAAAGUUCCCCAGGGCAGGACUCCUGGUGGAGAGAGAAUGGUCUGGAGGAUUCAGGCCUCUGCACACUGUGUCUGGGUCCCUCCUAAAAGAUUGAUAAAGACAAGUAAAGAGCUUGAAGCAGCCUGGAGUCCAGUCAGAAACCUUUGACAGCCUUAAAGGAGAUGGUCACAACGCUUUUCAGAAUAUUGGCAAAGGCCUCCUGCGGCCAGGUCCCUGGACAAAAACACUGCAUCACGUUACAACAGCAAAGAAGUGGACCCAUUCCUCUACCCUGUCAAUCACCCUAAAUAUCAGCAACUUCCACACCUCUGCAAAACUGAAUGGUUUGAGAUAGAAAGAGAUCUUGUUUGGCCUCACAUCUCCUGGGCCAUGAGAGGGCUCAGCUUCUGCUCCUCAUGUGCAUCUCCUGUGCUCAUGUCUGGAAACAAGGCAGGGCAGUAGCUGGACUCAAUGGAAGGAACGUGGCUUCCCCUCCUCAGUCCUUGACUCAGAAGAUUUCAUCACAUCACAGGAGGAGCCAUGAGACGUCAGUGUCAUGUAAGACAGAGGUGGAAAAUGGAAAUGCUGUGGGGGGCCUGCAAGAAAGUGCCCAUAAAUGCUGAUGGGGUCUGGAGAGGCAGUGAGGACUUUCCUAACUAAAAAGUGCACUCUUUACCUAAUGGAAUUUACAUUUAAAAACUUGGUAACAUUGGUGCAGAACAAAAAUCACCUGUCUAUGGGACAGAUUUGGCCACCAGCUACACCGUUGAUCUAACACAGUGGAGUCACAUGGCCCAGAGAAAUACAUUUAAGUAUCAGAAUUUUGCUUCUUUUUUUUCCCUUCACCAAGUUUAAUCUAAUGGUAAUAUUUCACAUAACUACAGCUUAAUCUCAAGAACCAGGAAAUUGUCAUUGUUACAAUCCAUAAGCCUUUUUUAGAUUUUACCAUUUCCACAUGUAUUUGUGUGUAUGUAUAAUUAUACGCAAUUUUAUCAUGUGUAGAUUGGUAUAGCCACUUUAACAGUCUAUAGUUCUUUAUACAGAACUACUCCAUCACCUCAGGGCUCCCUAUGUUACCACUUUAUAGCUUCAUGCACCCUUCCAGCAACCACUAAUCUGUUCUGCAUCUCUGUAAUUUUGCCAUUUUGAGAAUGUUAUAUAAGUGGAAUCAUACAGAAUGUAACUUUGGCUUUUUCUUUUACCAUAAUUCCUUUGAGAGUCAUCCAAAUUGUUACAUGCAUUAGUAGUUCAUUUCUUUUUGCUAUUGAGUACUAGUCCAUAGAAUGGCUGAGCCACACAAUUUGUUUAACCAUUUACUUGUUGAAGGACAUACCAGAAGGGUGGUUUCCAGUUUUUUGGCUAUUACAAAUAAAGCUGCUAUAAACAUUCAAGUAUAUACAUGUUUUUAUGUGAAUAUAAAGUUUUCAUUUUGGGGGAAUAAAUGUCCAAAUGUUUGGAUCAUCUGGUAAGCGCAUUUUUGUUUUUCUUUAAAGAUGGGGUUUCACCAUGUUGGUCAGGCUGGUCUUGAACUCCUGACCUCAGGUGAUCCAUCCACCUUGGCCUCCAAAGUGCUAGGAUUACAGGUGUGAGCCACCAAGCCUGGCCACAUUUUUGGUGUUUAGACAAACUGCUGAACUAUUUAUUUUGUAGAAUGACUAUAUCCUCUUAUAUUCCCAUCAACAAUGUAUGAGUUAUCCAGUUUCUCUGCAUCCUUUGCUAGCAUUUAGUGUCAGCACUUUUUUAUCUGACCGAUUCUAAUAUGUGUAGUGAUAACCUGUUGUGCCUAAUCAUAUUAACGAAUAAAAAUAGCCUUAUCUAAUUUUAACUUUUUUUUUUAAGAAAUUUUUUUUUUUUUUUGGAAAAAAGAGAAAAAAAGAAAAAGAAAGAGAGAAAGAAAGGAAGAAAAAAAAGAAUGAAAGAGAGAAAGAAAGAGGAAGAGAAAGAGGGAGAGAGAACGGGAGUCUUGCUUUAUUGCCCAGGCUAGAAUGCAGUCUAAAAAUGGAUAAUUGAAAACUUCUUUUAUGCCAAUAAUUGUGCUUAACAAUGGAGACAGGAAGGACUUUGGGAGGCCGAGGAAGGCAGGUCAUCUGAGUUCAGGAGUUCAAGACCAGCCUGGCCAACAUGGUGAAACCCUGUCUCUAGUAAAAACACAAAAAUUAGCUGGGUGUGGUGGCACAUGCCUAUAAUCCCAGCUACUCAGGAGGCUGAGGCAGGAGAAUUGCUUGAACCCGGGAGGUUGCAGUGAGCUGAUAUCGCACCACUGCCCUCCAGCCUGUGCGACAGAGUGAGACUCUACCUCAAAAAAAAAAAAAAAAGCAUUUAGAUCUUGUGACCAGCUAUAUAGAUACACGCUUAAUUAUUUGUUCCUUGUCUUCCCCAACAGGAUGUGAGUUCCCUGGACCACAGGGUUUUUCUUGUUGUUGCUGUUUACCAGUUCUGUUUGCCAGCUGUUACCCUGAUCACUGGUAUAGAGUAGGUGCUCAGUAAACAUGGUUUGUAUAGAAGAAGGAAGGAGUGAGAAAAAAAGGUAAAAUGCUUAGCACAGGGCCUCGUACCAAAGAAUGCACAACGAUCAGUAGGAAUGACAGUGACUUAGGUGACUGAUAAAGGCUCAGCCCUUGGGAGCUCCCCAUGGCUGGGUGUGCAGGAGACUGGCAGGCAGAACUAAUGGCAGGCAACACCUGACCUGUGUGACCUGCACAGGAAGUUGCGGGUUGCAGGGCCAGAGACCCUGCAGCUGCUGAGAGGCGAAGCUGAGCAAGGCCUUUUUUUUUUGAGAUGGAAUCUCGCUGUUGCCAGGCUGGAGUGCAGUGGUAUGAUCUCGGCUCACUGCAACCUCCACCUCCUGGGUUCAAGCGAUUCUCCUGCCUCAGCCUCCCAAGUAGCUAUCACUACAGGUGUGUGCCACCACACCCAGCUAAUUUUUUUUUAAUUUUAAUUUUUAGUAGAGACGGAGCUUCACCAUGUUGGUCGGGCUGGUCUCAAACUCCUGAUCUCAGGUAAUCCACCCGCCUUGGCCUUCCAAAGUGCUUGGAUUACAGGUGUGACUCACCACAUCUGGCCUAUUUUUAUUUUUUAUUUUCUGAGACAGGGUCUUGCUCUGCUGCCCAGGCUGGAAUGCAGUGGUGCAAUUAUAGCUCACUGCAGCUUCAAUGUCCAGUGCUCAAGCAAUCCUCCUGCCUCAGCCUCCCAAGUAGCUGGGACCACAGGUAAAUGCCACCAUGCCCAGCUAAUUUUCUAAUUUUUUUUUUUUUUUUGUAGAGACA